UAUAAAUCUUGUUUUUAUUCAUCCAUCUAUUUGCAUGCACUGGAAUGCUUGUUCUACUACGCUGAACAUUUUUUAAAAACCACCAGAGUGCAUUGCUACCCUCUGUCGGCUAGGGUGGUGAACUGCACUUGGAAAGCAACAGACACUGAAAGAUCCCGUAUUCCAUCACAAGAUUCAAAAGAAAUCGUUAACGUUACGGACUGUUUGGAGGGACGCUAAAUGUGCAAAAUGCGCAAAAGGUAAGUUAUAGUUUGAUUUUUGAGUCUAGCUUUUCAAACGAGUUACACUGGAACACGCACGUAUGUUUACGUCUCUCACGUAUUUUACGUCCCCGAAUCACAGCGUAGCGUUUCACACGUGUGGCUUCGUCUUCUCAUCUACGAAACUUCACAGAUGUCUGCAGAGCCACUUUGCAGGAUGGAAGCUACGUCCAUUAUAUUCAGCCCGCUCUCGGCUGUCAAGUCGGCUGCAUUUCUCUUUGUGCAAGACGACGACCGUGAGGGCGACGGGCAGAACAGCCGUCACCUCAAUGUCUCCCUGGCUGAUCAUGAAUGAGACACUCGUAAAGAGCCACCAUCUCACCCACAAAUGACCAUCAGUUAUAGAGCACGAUGGCUUGACUGAUCAGCGCCAAUCUCUUAUUCGGGCCGCAUUCUUUUCCAGCUUUCCCGCGCACAUGUUCCACUCUUACUGUACAUUGUACUGGACUAUAAUAAAAUAA
This is a long non-coding RNA of Hippocampus comes (tiger tail seahorse), 721 nucleotides long. RefSeq lists it as uncharacterized. The transcript has 3 exons. The record is from RefSeq and is a predicted model, not a curated record. NCBI's taxonomy places the organism in Eukaryota, Metazoa, Chordata, Actinopteri, Syngnathiformes, Syngnathidae.